ACCCAUUUGACGAGUUUCAAACAGGACGAAACGCGAGUCCUGGAU
RNAcentral lists this non-coding RNA (45 nucleotides) under Schistosoma mansoni. The record is from RNAcentral. Lineage: Eukaryota; Metazoa; Platyhelminthes; Trematoda; Strigeidida; Schistosomatidae.